AGGUGCCUGGAAUGUUGUCGCCUUUCAUUUUGAACCUUCAUGACUUAAACGGGAGUCCGCGUCAAUGUGGAAUACGGUACCACCCCCGAGUCUAGGCUUGUUGGGGAAAACCCAAGACCACUGCAGGGCACCCACCUGGCGUUUAGCUAGGUGUCAAAAGAGGGGUGCGGCAUUUCAGGUAUUUU
Molecule: non-coding RNA, 185 nt
Rfam family: 6S / SsrS RNA
About the family: E. coli 6S RNA was the first non coding RNA to be sequenced, but its function was unknown until recently. It consists of 184 nucleotides that fold into an extended hairpin structure with a large single-stranded internal bulge.